AGGAAAAGAAGAAGAAGAAAAAGGAAAAGAAAGAGAAGAAAGAAGAAAAGAGGGCUUUGUGUGUUCAUGUCGUAGGCAGCUCACCAAGCUUAUUUAUAACGCCUGGACCGUGAGAUCGAAGGAUCAAAUAAUGUAGGUUAUUUGAUUUUGAGGCAUCUCUAGGUCCUUUGGUUAGCAACUAGUAGGUCAAAGAGUUCUAUCGAUGGGGACCUUUGGAAGUGAACUUUGGAUAUGAUUUGAGGCUGCGUUCUUCGGGUGCAAGGAUGGCCAUGUCACCCCCAUCCCUCUGGAUUUGGGAUGUGACAGAAUUUGUCGCAUUUGCACCAUUCGUUCCUUGGCCUAUAUUGAAGAAAGUUCCAUGAAAUGAUGUUUAUUAUGAGCGAGGAUCUGCACGGCCCUUGCCUCAGCUAGUGAGGGUUGGUUGGUGGCCCUCAGUCAACCAUGGCAAGGGUCAAACGACGCUCACUGUGCCUUAAUGAUGCUCACGUCCUUGCGCGAGCGACACGAGGGUUGUGCGACCUUCAGUCUCGCUCGACCAUAGCCAGCUCUAUGUCUGUCUUCCGUGACCAUGGCCAGCCCUUUAAGUGUUACUAAACUGAUUUGAAAUUAUUA
Long non-coding RNA from Eucalyptus grandis, 612 nucleotides. RefSeq lists it as uncharacterized. The transcript is spliced from 3 exons. The record is from RefSeq and is a predicted model, not a curated record. NCBI's taxonomy places the organism in Eukaryota, Viridiplantae, Streptophyta, Magnoliopsida, Myrtales, Myrtaceae.